RNAcentral lists this ribosomal RNA (253 nucleotides) under uncultured bacterium. RNAcentral's name for it is "partial 16S ribosomal RNA". It matches the Rfam family "Bacterial small subunit ribosomal RNA", at positions 524 to 776 of the family's 1533-position model. The record is from RNAcentral.
UACGGGGGGGGCAAGCGUUGUUCGGAAUUACUGGGCGUAAAGGGCUCGUAGGCGGCCAACUAAGUCGGAUGUGAAAUCCCCAGGCUCAACUUGGGAACUGCAUCCGAUACUGGAUGGCUUGAAUUCGGGAGAGGGAUGCAGAAUUCCAGGUGUAGCGGUGAAAUGCGUAGAUAUCUGGAGGAAUACCGGUGGCGAAGGCGGCAUCCCGGACCGACAUUGACGCUGAGGAGCGAAAGCUAGGGGAGCAAACGGG